RNAcentral lists this ribosomal RNA (453 nucleotides) under Salmonella enterica subsp. enterica serovar Typhimurium. RNAcentral describes it as "partial 23S ribosomal RNA". It matches the Rfam family "Bacterial large subunit ribosomal RNA", at positions 548 to 1005 of the family's 2925-position model. The record is from RNAcentral. Lineage: Bacteria; Pseudomonadati; Pseudomonadota; Gammaproteobacteria; Enterobacterales; Enterobacteriaceae.
ACCUGAAACUGGUUGCCUACAAACAGAUGGAGCCUGAAAGGGUGACAUCGUACCUUUUGUAUAAUGGGUCAGCGACUUAGUGUAUCGAGCAAGCUUAAGCCGGUAGGUGUAGGCGCAGCGAAAGCGAGUCUGAACAGGGCGUUCAGUUCGAUGCAUUAGACCCGAAACCGAGUGAUCUAGCCAUGAGCAGGUUGAAGGUGAGGUAACACUCACUGGAGGACCGAACCCAUAACUGUUGCAAUAGUUCGGGAUGACUUGUGGCUAGGGGUGAAAGGCCAAUCAAACUCGGAAAUAGCUGGUUCUCCGCGAAAUCUAUUUAGGUAGAGCGUCGACCGAAUACCCUGGGGGGUAAAGCACUGCAUGGGCUAGGGGUCCUCACCGGAUUACCAAACCUAAGCAAACUCUGAAUACCCAGGAGUACUAGUCGGCAGACACACGGCGGGUGCUAACGUC